AUUGAACGCUGGCGGCAGGCCUAAUACAUGCAAGUAGGACGAGCGGCGGCCGGGUGAGUAAUGUAUGGGGAUCUGCCUGAGGGAGGGGGUUAACUACUGGAAACGGUAGCUAAUACCGCAUACCAUCAGAUGACCCCAUAUGGGAUUAGCUUGUAGGUGGGGUAACGGCUCACCUAGGCGACGACCCCUAGCUGGUCUGAGAGGAUGAUCAGCCACACUGGAACUGAGACAUGGCCCUGACUCCUACGGGAGGCAGUAGUGGGGAAUAUUGCACAAUGGGCGCAAGCCUGAUGCAGCCAUGCCGCGUGUAUGAAGAAGGCCUUCGGGUUGGAAAGGACUUUCAGUCGGGAGGCGUUACCGACAGAAGAAGCACCGGCUAACUCCGUGCCAGCAGCCGCGGUAAUAC
RNAcentral lists this ribosomal RNA (406 nucleotides) under uncultured bacterium. RNAcentral describes it as "partial 16S ribosomal RNA". It matches the Rfam family "Bacterial small subunit ribosomal RNA", at positions 30 to 526 of the family's 1533-position model. The record is from RNAcentral.